CCUACGGGGGGCAGCAGUGGGGAAUAUUGGACAAUGGGCGAAAGCCUGAUCCAGCCAUGUCGCGUGUGUGAAGAAGGCCUUCGGGUUGUAAAGCACUUUCAGUGGGGAAGAAAGCCUUGGGGCUAAUACCCUCGAGGAAGGACAUCACCCACAGAAGAAGCACCGGCUAACUCCGUGCCAGCAGCCGCGGUAAUACGGAGGGUGCGAGCGUUAAUCGGAAUUACUGGGCGUAAAGCGCGCGUAGGCGGUCUGAUAAGCCGGUUGUGAAAGCCCCGGGCUCAACCUGGGAACGGCAUCCGGAACUGUCAGGCUAGAGUGCAGGAGAGGAAGGUAGAAUUCCCGGUGUAGCGGUGAAAUGCGUAGAGAUCGGGAGGAAUACCAGUGGCGAAGGCGGCCUUCUGGACUGACACUGACGCUGAGGUGCGAAAGCGUGGGUAGCAAACAGGAUUAGAUACCCUAGUAGUC
This 465-nucleotide ribosomal RNA is filed under the name Vreelandella stevensii. RNAcentral describes it as "partial 16S ribosomal RNA". It matches the Rfam family "Bacterial small subunit ribosomal RNA", at positions 338 to 795 of the family's 1533-position model. Lineage: Bacteria; Pseudomonadati; Pseudomonadota; Gammaproteobacteria; Oceanospirillales; Halomonadaceae. The record is from RNAcentral.